UACGGAGGGUGCAAGCGUUGUUCGGAAUUACUGGGCGUAAAGCGCACGUAGGCGGCUUUGUAAGUUAGAGGUGAAAGCCCGGGGCUCAACUCCGGAAUUGCCUUUAAGACUGCAUCGCUAGAAUUGUGGAGAGGUAAGUGGAAUUCCGAGUGUAGAGGUGAAAUUCGUAGAUAUUCGGAAGAACACCAGUGGCGAAGGCGACUUACUGGACACAUAUUGACGCUGAGGUGCGAAAGCGUGGGGAGCAAACAGG
Molecule: ribosomal RNA, 253 nt
Filed under: uncultured bacterium
Lineage: Bacteria
Description: partial 16S ribosomal RNA
Rfam family: Bacterial small subunit ribosomal RNA
Source: RNAcentral